This 495-nucleotide ribosomal RNA is filed under the name uncultured bacterium. RNAcentral describes it as "partial 16S ribosomal RNA". It matches the Rfam family "Bacterial small subunit ribosomal RNA", at positions 28 to 507 of the family's 1533-position model. The record is from RNAcentral.
GAUGAACGCUGGCGGCGUGCCUAAUACAUGCAAGUCGAACGCUGAAGGAGGAGCUUGCUCUUCUGGAUGAGUUGCGAACGGGUGAGUAACGCGUAGGUAACCUGCCUGGUAGCGGGGGAUAACUAUUGGAAACGAUAGCUAAUACCGCAUGACAACAGUUAUUGCAUGAUAACUGUUUAAAAGGGGCAACUGCUCCACUACCAGAUGGACCUGCGUUGUAUUAGCUAGUUGGUGAGGUAACGGCUCACCAAGGCGACGAUACAUAGCCGACCUGAGAGGGUGAUCGGCCACACUGGGACUGAGACACGGCCCAGACUCCUACGGGAGGCAGCAGUAGGGAAUCUUCGGCAAUGGACGGAAGUCUGACCGAGCAACGCCGCGGGAGUGAAGAAGGGUUUCGGAUCGUAAAGCUCUGUUGUAAGAGAAGAACGAGUGUGAGAGUGGAAAGUUCACACUGUGACGGUAGCUUACCAGAAAGGGACGGCUAACUACGUG